RNAcentral lists this long non-coding RNA (610 nucleotides) under Anas platyrhynchos platyrhynchos (common mallard). RNAcentral's name for it is "lncRNA (ENSAPLG00000019340.1)". The record is from RNAcentral. Lineage: Eukaryota; Metazoa; Chordata; Aves; Anseriformes; Anatidae.
CUUUAUGUAUGCAGUCCUGAGAACCUAACGGAAUAUCACAUCAAUUUGUUUAUAAAACAAGUUAGUGACCCUAUUUUACCUUUUCAAAUUUUUACCAGAGGAAAAAGCUGCUGUGGUAGAGAUAACAAUACUUUGGAGUGGUGCAUGGAGUCCUUGUUACAUAUUGUUAAACUGAAAAAGAAAGUGAAGGACCGGUUUGUAUGCAGACAUGAGAAAAAUAAAUAAAUAAAUAAAUAAAUCUGUCCUGUGCUUUAAAUCCCUCUGCAAGCUUCUCUCUCAAAAUGCAGGUGAUGGCUAACAGGUCCUGAGGUUGUACAGUGUGUCUGUCACAGGUGCAGGGACUGGUAGCAGGAGAUGGUGCCCUUGUCUUUGGGCAAGGCCAAUGGUGCUUGGAAGAUGUUCCAUAGCUACAAUGUUUAAAGAUUCAGCAUCUGACUCUUCAUGUGGAAUCAGAUUUUCAAACCAAGCAAGGGUAUAUAAAAAUGCAUUAUGCACAUUUGAACGUCUGCAUGUGUGAAGCUCUCGACAGUUCUGAUCAUAAGGAUUCUAUUGAUCUAAAUGGGUUAUUCUGUAGAAAAUCCUGUGAAUAAAUAAAAUAAUGACAGAAACA